Centruroides sculpturatus (bark scorpion) is the source of this 268-nucleotide long non-coding RNA. RefSeq lists it as uncharacterized. The record is from RefSeq and is a predicted model, not a curated record. The transcript has 3 exons. Lineage: Eukaryota; Metazoa; Arthropoda; Arachnida; Scorpiones; Buthidae.
UGCAGAAUGGCUUUCAAGACAUUCGAAUAUUCGCAGAUUGUAAUUUGGAGCUUGAGCAGAAGCUGAAAAUUUUGAAUUUUAUGAAGAGAUUCGGAAAAGCUUCUUUAUCGAUUUCAAUGGAAGACUUCUUCAACAUUACAAAGAAAUUUCCCAUCAAGAUGGCCAAUUCUCUGUACUCCAUAUUCUCCAGUCUGUGGAAAUUGAGAAACAUCCAGCAAAAAAACGAAAGAUGCACAGAAAUAUCACUUUUUAAUGCAAUAACACACAA